RNAcentral lists this ribosomal RNA (454 nucleotides) under uncultured bacterium. RNAcentral describes it as "partial 16S ribosomal RNA". It matches the Rfam family "Bacterial small subunit ribosomal RNA", at positions 28 to 507 of the family's 1533-position model. The record is from RNAcentral.
GAUGAACGCUGACAGAAUGCUUAACACAUGCAAGUCUACUUGAACUUCGGUUUGGGUGGCGGACGGGUGAGUAACGCGUACAGAACUUGCCUCACAGUUAGGGACAACAUUUGGAAACGAAUGCUAAUACCUGAUAUUAUGAUAUUAGGGCAUCCUAGGAUUAUGAAAGCUAUAUGUGCUGUGAGAGAGCUUUGCGUCCCAUUAGCUAGUUGGAGAGGUAACGGCUCACCAAGGCGAUGAUGGGUAGCCAGCCUGAGAGGGUGAACGGCCACAAGCGGACUGAGGCGCGACCCUUACUCAUACUGGAGGCAUGAGUGGGGAAUAUGCGGCAAUGGACCAAAAGUCUGAUGCAGCUAUUCUGUGUGCACGAUGACGUUUUUCGGAAAGUAAAGUGCUUUCAGUUAGGAAGAAAAAAAUGACGGUACCAACAGAAGAAGCGACGGCUAAAUACGUG